RNAcentral lists this ribosomal RNA (1429 nucleotides) under uncultured bacterium. RNAcentral's name for it is "16S ribosomal RNA". It matches the Rfam family "Bacterial small subunit ribosomal RNA". The record is from RNAcentral.
ACACAUGCAAGUCGAGGGGCAGCAUGGUCUUAUCUUGCUAAGACUGAUGGCGACCGGCGCACGGGUGAGUAACACGUAUCCAACCUGCCGUCUACUCUUGGACAGCCUUCUGAAAGGAAGAUUAAUACAAGAUGGCAUCAUGAGUCCGCAUGUUCACAUGAUUAAAGGUAUUCCGGUAGACGAUGGGGAUGCGUUCCAUUAGAUAGUAGGCGGGGUAACGGCCCACCUAGUCUUCGAUGGAUAGGGGUUCUGAGAGGAAGGUCCCCCACAUUGGAACUGAGACACGGUCCAAACUCCUACGGGAGGCAGCAGUGAGGAAUAUUGGUCAAUGGGCGAGAGCCUGAACCAGCCAAGUAGCGUGAAGGAUGACUGCCCUAUGGGUUGUAAACUUCUUUUAUAAAGGAAUAAAGUCGGGUAUGGAUACCCGUUUGCAUGUACUUUAUGAAUAAGGAUCGGCUAACUCCGUGCCAGCAGCCGCGGUAAUACGGAGGAUCCGAGCGUUAUCCGGAUUUAUUGGGUUUAAAGGGAGCGUAGAUGGAUGUUUAAGUCAGUUGUGAAAGUUUGCGGCUCAACCGUAAAAUUGCAGUUGAUACUGGAUAUCUUGAGUGCAGUUGAGGCAGGCGGAAUUCGUGGUGUAGCGGUGAAAUGCUUAGAUAUCACGAAGAACUCCGAUUGCGAAGGCAGCCUGCUAAGCUGCAACUGACAUUGAGGCUCGAAAGUGUGGGUAUCAAACAGGAUUAGAUACCCUGGUAGUCCACACGGUAAACGAUGAAUACUCGCUGUUUGCGAUAUACUGCAAGCGGCCAAGCGAAAGCGUUAAGUAUUCCACCUGGGGAGUACGCCGGCAACGGUGAAACUCAAAGGAAUUGACGGGGGCCCGCACAAGCGGAGGAACAUGUGGUUUAAUUCGAUGAUACGCGAGGAACCUUACCCGGGCUUAAAUUGCAGAUGAAUUACGGUGAAAGCCGUAAGCCGCAAGGCAUCUGUGAAGGUGCUGCAUGGUUGUCGUCAGCUCGUGCCGUGAGGUGUCGGCUUAAGUGCCAUAACGAGCGCAACCCUUGUUGUCAGUUACUAACAGGUUCCGCUGAGGACUCUGACAAGACUGCCAUCGUAAGAUGUGAGGAAGGUGGGGAUGACGUCAAAUCAGCACGGCCCUUACGUCCGGGGCUACACACGUGUUACAAUGGGGGGUACAGAGGGCCGCUACCACGCGAGUGGAUGCCAAUCCCCAAAACCUCUCUCAGUUCGGACUGGAGUCUGCAACCCGACUCCACGAAGCUGGAUUCGCUAGUAAUCGCGCAUCAGCCACGGCGCGGUGAAUACGUUCCCGGGCCUUGUACACACCGCCCGUCAAGCCAUGGGAGCCGGGGGUACCUGAAGUGCGUAACCGCGAGGAGCGCCCUAGGGUAAAACUGGUGACUGGGGCUAA